UAAUAUCUUCUGGACAGAAUCUAUCCCUUCUCUCUCUCUCUCUCUCUCUAUAUAUAUAUAUAUACACGCUCCUCCUCUGUUUCUCACUCGAACCACAUCUCUCUCUCUCUCUCUCUCUCUCUCUCUCCGGCAGUCUUUCUCUCAGAUUCGUUUAGAAGAAAAGGAGAAGAUAUGGGUCUGGUGGUGGUGAUCUCGCUGCCGCUGAUCCUGUUCUGCUUGCUGCUCGGCUUCGGCUGCUACUUCUUCGGACGAGCCCGGGGGAGGCAAGACAUCCGCACCAACCCCCAGGUGUACGGCACCCCGACCCCGCCCCCCGGCACUUUUGCUUCGCCGCCGCCGCCGUUCCCGCACUUCAAGCCGCCCCACCCCGACGAAAACGUCUGAACGCUCUCGACUCCUCCAUCCUAAGACAGAGCUCGUCUUGUGAAUUUCUCUUCGAAGUGGGGUUGCUUUUCUUUUUGCCUGAUUUUUUUGUAUUAUAUCGACAGCAUUUCGUUAUGAAAUUCUUUGUUGGGUAUAUAAGGGGCCGUUUGAGAUUGAGAUUGGUGUAUGAUAAGCAAGGAGCAUGUCGAGUGAGGUCGUGUGCUUGUGGAUUUGUGAUGUGAAGGUAUAAAACCUUGUGGAAACUACCAAGUCUGGGAAUAAAUUCAUCUGUAGAUUUGAAUUGGGUGAGGAAAUUGAAGGGUUUUCCAGCUUGAUUGAUUCAAUUCGUAUGCUAAAUUUUUUUGCAAUCUUUCUGGAACGAUCGGAAUGUUGUCGUCCGGGGUGUCUGGCGAACCAAGUGGAAUUAGAAAAC
Molecule: long non-coding RNA, 796 nt
Filed under: Eucalyptus grandis
Lineage: Eukaryota; Viridiplantae; Streptophyta; Magnoliopsida; Myrtales; Myrtaceae
Description: long non-coding RNA (EGRA_LNC002397)
Source: RNAcentral